GUUGCAGUUAAAAGCUCGUAGUUGAACCUUGGGCCUGGCUGGCCGGUCCGCCUCACCGCGUGCACUGGUCCGGCCGGGCCUUUCCCUCUGGGGAGCCGCAUGCCCUUCACUGGGUGUGUCGGGGAACCAGGACUUUUACUGUGAAAAAAUUAGAGUGUUCAAAGCAGGCCUAUGCUCGAAUACAUUAGCAUGGAAUAAUAGAAUAGGACGUGCGGUUCUAUUUUGUUGGUUUCUAGGACCGCCGUAAUGAUUAAUAGGGACAGUCGGGGGCAUCAGUAUUCAAUUGUCAGAGGUGAAAUUCUUGGAUUUAUUGAAGACUAACUACUGCGAAAGCAUUUGCCAAGGAUGUUUUCAUUAAUCAGGAACGAAAGUUAGGGGAUCGAAGACGAUCAGAUACCGUCGUAGUCUUAACCAUAAACUAUGCCGACUAGGGAUCGGGCGGUGUUAUUUUUUGACCCGCUCGGCACCUUACACGAAAGUAAAGUUUUUGGGUUCUGGGGGGAGUAUGGUCGCAAGGCUGAAACUUAAAGAAAUUGACGGAAGGGCACCACCAGGGGUGGAGCCUGCGGCUUAAUUUGACUCAACACGGGGAAACUCACCAGGUCCAGACACAAUUAGGAUUGACAGAUUGAGAGCUCUUUCUUGAUUUUGUGGGGUGGUGGUGCAUGGCCGUUCUUAGUUGGUGGAGUGAUUUGUCUGCUUAAUUGCGAUAACGAACGAGACCUUAACCUGCUAAAUAGCCCGUAUUGCUUUGGCAGUACGCCCGGCUUCUUAGAGGGACUAUCGGCUCAGCCGAUGGAAGUUUGAGGCAUAACAGGUCUGUGAUGCCCUUAGAUGUCUGGGCGCACGCGCGCUACACUGAC
Molecule: ribosomal RNA, 863 nt
Filed under: uncultured fungus
Lineage: Eukaryota; Fungi
Description: SSU rRNA
Rfam family: Eukaryotic small subunit ribosomal RNA
Source: RNAcentral